Molecule: ribosomal RNA, 2130 nt
Filed under: human gut metagenome
Description: bacterial LSU rRNA
Rfam family: Bacterial large subunit ribosomal RNA
Source: RNAcentral
AGUGACCGAUAGCGCAUAGUACUGUGAAGGAAAGGUGAAAAGGACCCCGGGAGGGGAGUGAAAGAGAACCUGAAACCCUGUGUCUACAAGCUGUGGAAGCACUUUAUAUGUGCGACCGCGUACUUUUUGUAGAACGGUCCGGCGAGUUACGCUUACUGGCAAGGUUAAGCACUUCAGGUGUGGAGCCGUAGGGAAACCAAGUCUUAAGAGGGCCAGAGUCAGUAGGAGUAGACCCGAAACCGGGUGAUCUAUCCAUGUCCAGGUUGAAGCUGCCGUAAGAGGUAGUGGAGGACCGAACCCACAUCCGUUGAAAAGGGUGGGGAUGAGGUGUGGAUAGGGGAGAAAUUCCAAUCGAACCCGGAGAUAGCUGGUUCUCCUCGAAAUAGCUUUAGGGCUAGCCUCGAUACAGAUUUGCGGAGGUAGAGCACUGAAUUUCCUAGGGGGCGUCAAAGCCUACCGAAGAAUAUCAAACUCCGAAUGCCGCGUAAUCGAUUAUCGGGAGUCAGACUGCACGAGAUAAGUUGGGCGGUCAAAAGGGAAAGAGCCCAGACCUUCAGUUAAGGUCCCCAAGUGCGCGUUAAGUGGAAAAGGAUGUGGGAUUUCGAAGACAACCAGGAUGUUGGCUCAGAAGCAGCCAUCCAUUCAAAGAGUGCGUAAUAGCUCACUGGUCGAGAGGUCCUGCGCCGAAAAUGUCCGGGGCUGAAACGCGCCACCGAAACUAAGGAACCGAAAGGUUGGUAGAGGAGCAUUGCAUGCGGAACGAAGCAGUACCGUAAGGAGCUGUGGACUGCAUGGAAGAGAGAAUGCCGGAAUGAGUAGCGAGAAUAAGGUGAGAAUCCUUAUGGCCGAAUAUCCAAGGUUUCCAGAGUAAAGCUGAUCUGCUCUGGGUAAGUCGGGGCCUAAGGCGAGGACGAGAGUCGUAGCCGAUGGACAACAGGUGGAGAUUCCUGUACUGCGGUAUGACAGAACUGUGGGGACACGUAAGGAAAGCGGAAGCCGGGAAUGGAAAGCCCGGUGCAAGCGGGGUACCAGCCACUUUGGCAAAUCCGGGUGGCAAUGGGAAGCCGUGAUGCGGAGCGAAAUAAAGUAGCGAAGUCCGUGAGCCAUGCGUCAAGAAAAGCCGCUAUCGUUUAUACCGUACCCGUACCGUAAACCGACACAGGUGGAUGAGGAGAGAAUCCUAAGGCCGGCGGAAGAAGCAUUGUCAAGGAACUCGGCAAAAUGACCCCGUAACUUAGGGAUAAGGGGUGCCUGGGAAACCAGGCCGCAGAGAAUAGGCUCAAGCAACUGUUUAGCAAAAACACAGGUCUAUGCGAAACCGAAAGGUGAGGUAUAUGGGCUGACGCCUGCCCGGUGCUGGAAGGUUAAGAGGAGAGGUUAGCGCAAGCGAAGCUUUGAAUUGAAGCCCCAGUAAACGGCGGCCGUAACUAUAACGGUCCUAAGGUAGCGAAAUUCCUUGUCGGGUAAGUUCCGACCCGCACGAAAGGCGUAAUGAUUUGAGCGCUGUCUCGACAAUGCACCCGGUGAAAUUGAAAUACCAGUGAAGAUGCUGGUUACCUGCGCCAGGACGGAAAGACCCCAUGGAGCUUUACUCCAGCUUGAUACUGGGAUUCGGUAUUGCAUGUACAGGAUAGGUGGGAGACUAAGAAGCGGUGACGCCAGUUGCCGCGGAGUCGCUGUUGGGAUACCACCCUUGCAGUAUUGGAUUUCUAACCAGCAGCCGUGAACCGGCUGGGGGACAAUGUCAGGUGGGGAGUUUGACUGGGGCGGUCGCCUCCGAAAGGGUAUCGGAGGCGCUCAAAGGUUCCCUCAGAAUGGUUGGAAACCAUUCGAAGAGUGCAAAGGCAGAAGGGAGCUUGACUGCGACACCGACGGGUGGAGCAGGUACGAAAGUAGGACUUAGUGAUCCGGUGGUAUAAAGUGGGAUUGCCAUCGCUCAACGGAUAAAAGCUACCCUGGGGAUAACAGGCUUAUCACUCCCAAGAGUUCACAUCGACGGAGUGGUUUGGCACCUCGAUGUCGGCUCAUCGCAUCCUGGGGCUGUAGUAGGUCCCAAGGGUUGGGCUGUUCGCCCAUUAAAGCGGUACGCGAGCUGGGUUCAGAACGUCGUGAGACAGUUCGGUCCCUAUC